Small nucleolar RNA from Choloepus didactylus (southern two-toed sloth), 131 nucleotides. RefSeq annotates it as small nucleolar RNA SNORA29. The record is from RefSeq and is a predicted model, not a curated record. NCBI's taxonomy places the organism in Eukaryota, Metazoa, Chordata, Mammalia, Pilosa, Megalonychidae. The transcript has a single exon.
UUUCCCAUUUGACUACUACUUUUUUUCUUAAUUUAGUAGCUAUGCUUAUGGGAUAGAUGAAAAUUACCAUGAACUGAAGAGGGAGGAUUUUUUGUGUUCUCCUCCUAUAUGAAACAGCUGAACAGAAAACU